Long non-coding RNA from Ruditapes philippinarum (Manila clam), 656 nucleotides. RefSeq lists it as uncharacterized. NCBI's taxonomy places the organism in Eukaryota, Metazoa, Mollusca, Bivalvia, Venerida, Veneridae. The record is from RefSeq and is a predicted model, not a curated record. The transcript is spliced from 3 exons.
GUUUAAUUUCAGAUCCCGUGUAACACGUGUAGCACUGGUGAAACAUGUGACUUGGAAAGCGGUACUUGUAAAUUUAAAGACUGUUCUAAUGUAGAGAAUCCAGAAAAUGGAACAAUACUUGGAAAUGUGAACAAGAUUGGUGCGGUAUGGCGGCAAAACUGUAACACGGGGUAUCAUCUUGAGGCGGGUAGCGAUACGCUUAUAUGUGACACCGACGGGUAUUGGAAUUCAACGCAAUGUAUAAGAGAUUGUGUACCAUUGUCUAAAUACACAGGAAAUCUUAGUGUCACGACACUUGGGUAUCAAUGUCAAAGAUGGGAAUUGAACUUCCCACAUAAGCAUAAAUACAACACCUCGGAAUAUUUCCCAGAUGGAUCCAUACUUCAAGCUGAAAACUAUUGCCGGGCUGUUGACUAUAGUUCCCUUUGGUGUUAAACAACCGAUGCAUUGAAAAGAUGGGAUACUUGCGACAGUCCGGAUGAAAUAUGUUAACAAUAUCAGUAGUACAUAUAGGAUACUUGCGACAGUCCCGAUGAAAUAUGUUAACAAUAUCAGUAGUACAGAUAGGAUACUUGCGACAAUCCGGAUGAAAUAUGUUAAUCAAUAUCUGUAGUACAGUCGGGAUACUUGCGACAGUCCCGAAGAAAUAUGUUAAC